GAUGAACGCUGGCGGCGUGCCUAAUACAUGCAAGUCGAGCGAACAGAUAAGGAGCUUGCUCCUUUGACGUUAGCGGCGGACGGGUGAGCAACACGUGGGUAACCUACCUAUAAGACUGGAAUAACUCCGGGAAACCGGGGCUAAUGCCGGAUAACAUUUAGAACCGCAUGGUUCUAAAGUGAAAGAUGGUUUUGCUAUCACUUAUAGAUGGACCCGCGCCGUAUUAGCUAGUUGGUAAGGUAACGGCUUACCAAGGCAACGAUACGUAGCCGACCUGAGAGGGUGAUCGGCCACACUGGAACUGAGACACGGUCCAGACUCCUACGGGAGGCAGCAGUAGGGAAUCUUCCGCAAUGGGCGAAAGCCUGACGGAGCAACGCCGCGUGAGUGAUGAAGGUCUUCGGAUCGUAAAACUCUGUUAUUAGGGAAGAACAAAUGUGUAAGUAACUGUGCACGUCUUGACGGUACCUAAUCAGAAAGCCACGGCUAACUACGUG
This 497-nucleotide ribosomal RNA is filed under the name uncultured bacterium. RNAcentral describes it as "partial 16S ribosomal RNA". It matches the Rfam family "Bacterial small subunit ribosomal RNA", at positions 28 to 507 of the family's 1533-position model. The record is from RNAcentral.